UGAGAGGGGCUGCUCCUAGUACGAGAGGACCGGAGUGGACGAACCUCUGGUGUUCCGGUUGUCACGCCAGUGGCAUUGCCGGGUAGCUAUGUUCGGAAAAGAUAACCGCUGAAAGCAUCUAAGCGGGAAACUUGCCUCAAGAUGAGAUCUCACUGGGAACUUGAUUCCCCUGAAGGGCCGUCGAAGACUACGACGUUGAUAGGCUGGGUGUGUAAGCGUUGUGAGGCGUUGAGCUAACCAGUACUAAUUGCCCGUGAGGCUUGACCAUAUAACACCCAAACA
This 282-nucleotide ribosomal RNA is filed under the name Pseudomonas aeruginosa. RNAcentral's name for it is "partial 23S ribosomal RNA". It matches the Rfam family "Bacterial large subunit ribosomal RNA", at positions 2663 to 2925 of the family's 2925-position model. Lineage: Bacteria; Pseudomonadati; Pseudomonadota; Gammaproteobacteria; Pseudomonadales; Pseudomonadaceae. The record is from RNAcentral.